RNAcentral lists this ribosomal RNA (936 nucleotides) under Triticum aestivum (bread wheat). RNAcentral's name for it is "partial small subunit ribosomal RNA". The record is from RNAcentral. Lineage: Eukaryota; Viridiplantae; Streptophyta; Magnoliopsida; Poales; Poaceae.
AUGGAAGUUGCAUUAGCUAGCGCUGCUGUAAGUGUUAGCUUAAAAGUGGCAGCCUUGAAGAAGCUCCUUGCUAGUGCUUCAAAGUACCUUGGAGUGGACAUGAUGCGUGAGCUCCAUGAUCUGGAGACCACUAUCAUGCCACAGCUAGAGCUGGUGAUUGAAGCAGCAAACAAGGGAAACCACAGGCCCAUGUUGGACAAAUGGCUUCAGGAACUCAAAGAAGGCUUCUACCUGGCUGAAGACUUGCUGGACAAGCAUGAAUACAACCUUCUCAAACGCCAAACAAAGGGAAAGGAUUCCUUACCGGCCAAUGCCUCCAUCAGCAGCACUUUUCUGAAGCCUUUGCGUGCUGCGUCGAACAGGCUGUCCAAUCUGAGCGCAGAGAACAGAAAGCUAAUUCAACAGUUAAAUGAACUGAAGGAUACCCUGGCAAAAGCCAAGGACUUCCGUGAACUGCUCUGCAUACCAGUUGGUUAUAAUGUAGAGAGCUCCUCCAUACGAUCAAUUGUUCCAGAAACUACAUCAAUACCACCUCUGAAAGUGAUUGGUCGUAACAAGGAUCGCAACCAUAUGAUAAAAUGUCUCACCAAGACAACAACUACUAAGUCCAGUACAACUAUGUACUCGAGUUUGGCUAUUGUUGGACCUGGAGGCAUCGGAAAGUCCACCUUGGCACAACUUGUCUACAACAGCAAGAGGGUAAAAAAAUAUUUUGAUGUGAGAAUGUGGGUAAGCAUAUCACGCAAACUUGAUGUACACCGUCAUACACGGGAGAUCAUCGAGUCUGCCUCUCAGGGGGAAUGCCCACGCAUUGACAACCUUGAUACAUUGCAGCGCAAGUUGGCAGAUAUACUGCAAGACUCAGGGAAAUUCCUUCUUGUGUUGGAUGAUGUUUGGUUUGAACCUGGCAGUGAGGGGAAUGGGACCAACUGUUAG